GACGAACGCUGGCGGCGUGCUUAACACAUGCAAGUCGAACGGUGAAGCUCCAGCUUGCUGGAGUGGAUCAGUGGCGAACGGGUGAGUAACACGUGAGCAACCUGCCCCUGACUCUGGAAUAAGCGCUGGAAACGGCGUCUAAUACUGGAUACGAGAAGGGUCCGCAUGGGCACUUUCUGGAAAGUUUUUCGGUUGGGGAUGGGCUCGCGGCCUAUCAGCUUGUUGGUGAGGUAAUGGCUCACCAAGGCGACGACGGGUAGCCGGCCUGAGAGGGCGACCGGCCACACUGGGACUGAGACACGGCCCAGACUCCUACGGGAGGCAGCAGUGGGGAAUAUUGCACAAUGGGCGAAAGCCUGAUGCAGCGACGCCGCGUGAGGGAUGACGGCCUUCGGGUUGUAAACCUCUUUCAGCAGGGAAGAAGCGGAAGUGACGGUACCUGCAGAAGAAGCACCGGCUAACUACGUG
Molecule: ribosomal RNA, 468 nt
Filed under: uncultured bacterium
Lineage: Bacteria
Description: partial 16S ribosomal RNA
Rfam family: Bacterial small subunit ribosomal RNA
Source: RNAcentral